This 252-nucleotide ribosomal RNA is filed under the name Romboutsia timonensis. Its description in RNAcentral is "partial 16S ribosomal RNA". It matches the Rfam family "Bacterial small subunit ribosomal RNA", at positions 524 to 776 of the family's 1533-position model. Lineage: Bacteria; Bacillati; Bacillota; Clostridia; Peptostreptococcales; Peptostreptococcaceae. The record is from RNAcentral.
UACGUAGGUGGCGAGCGUUAUCCGGAAUGAUUGGGCGUAAAGGGUGCGUAGGUGGUUUCUUAAGUCAGAGGUGAAAGGCUACGGCUCAACCGUAGUAAGCCUUUGAAACUGGGAAACUUGAGUGCAGGAGAGGAGAGUGGAAUUCCUAGUGUAGCGGUGAAAUGCGUAGAUAUAUGGAAGAACACCAGUGGCGAAGGCGGCUGUCUGGUCUGUAACUGACGCUGAGGCUCGAAAGUAUGGGUAGCAAACAGG